Molecule: transfer RNA, 70 nt
Filed under: Camelus bactrianus (Bactrian camel)
Lineage: Eukaryota; Metazoa; Chordata; Mammalia; Artiodactyla; Camelidae
Also listed under: 3 other names
Rfam family: tRNA
About the family: Transfer RNA (tRNA) molecules are approximately 80 nucleotides in length. Their secondary structure includes four short double-helical elements and three loops (D, anti-codon, and T loops).
Source: Rfam by way of RNAcentral
GGGCAUAGCUCAGUGAUAGAACACAUGCUUAGCAUACAUGAAGUCCUGGGUUCAAUUCCCAGUGUCUCCA